GGAUACCUUCACCACCUAAUAGCUGGUAAGCACUUGUUUCUUUGGGAUUGUCUGACGGGUGUGUUAUUCACUUUGCGAGUGACUUAACUGUUGGGUAGGGUAAAUUUACUGAUUCCCAACAACUUCUACUACUGCUAUAACUUCUACUACUAUUACUGGGGGCUUCGUGGUGCAGUGGUUAGCAUACUCGGCUCACAACCGAGAGAGCCCGGGUUCGAUUCCCGGGCGGAGUGGAAAAAUUUGGGCGGCUUUUCCGAUACCCUACGCCCCUGUCCACCCAGCAGUGAAUGGGUACCAGGUAUUAAUCGGGGGUUGUGUCCCGUCUCCUGGGAUCUGUUCCCUUCUCCUAGAAUUCCUUCCCCUCCUGUCUCUCUCCGGCAUAUGACCACAGAUGUUGCGCAAACUAAACAUUCCAAUACUACUAAUACUGCUACUACUACAACUACUACAGCCACUCCCACUGGCACAUAGACGCUGUGGACCCGUCGGAGGGCAUGAUAAAGCAGCGGGAGACUGGCAUCUAUACCAAAGACUUCCUGGAGUUUAUCGGCAGCGGACACUCCACCGUACCCAAAGACACAUACGACCUGGUGGUCAUCUCGGGCGGUAUGGGCGAAGGUCACAUCCCACUCAGUGGCCUCGACGACCUGGUGCGCGUCGCAAAGAACGGAGGCUUCGUGAUCAUCGUGAUGCGCCAUGAGUACCUACAGACCGUGCCUUCCUACAAGGACAAGCUGGAGCCUUACAUGGACCAGCUGGAGGCGGACGGGAAGUGGAAGAAGGUAGGGAGCACCGUUGCCAGAUUAUCGUACUCAGAGCAUAGUAUUUACCGUUUUUUGACACCUAACUAUUGCCAAGAAACAUCAGGAAUUCACUAUUUUAACGACAGAUAUAAAUGAAUCUAGUUAUUGAGCCCCAGGAGACAGUUUUGGGGUCGGAAGUUGGUAAAUAUAUAAGAGGCUGAGUACAACUA
RNA transcript from Eriocheir sinensis (Chinese mitten crab), 973 nucleotides. RefSeq lists it as uncharacterized. Lineage: Eukaryota; Metazoa; Arthropoda; Malacostraca; Decapoda; Varunidae. The record is from RefSeq and is a predicted model, not a curated record. The transcript has 3 exons.